RNAcentral lists this non-coding RNA (29 nucleotides) under Mus musculus (house mouse). Lineage: Eukaryota; Metazoa; Chordata; Mammalia; Rodentia; Muridae. The record is from RNAcentral.
UGAGAGUCAGAUGUGGAGGAAGCCAAAGA